UGUGAGCUGCAUGCAAUUAUGGGGGGGUGACGCCACCACUACCCCACCACUGUCGUGGACACCUGCAAGGGAGGAGUUGCACGGAGCGAGGAGGAAGAGUCAUUGGAGGACAAAGAGGAGAAGGACAGUGCACAGGCAGCAAGUGGGGAAUCCGUUUUCCCCCCUAGCCAGGAAUUAUUCUUAACGCUGGAGCCAAUAGCCUCCCCCCACUCCCAAGGCGGGCUCCCGGACCAUGACCCUGGAGAAGAUACUUCUGGUGCAAAUAUUUCAACGCGGCCCCUAUCUACUCCAUUCCAGAGGCUGGUCCAAAUUCGAAGGCAGAAAAAACAAACUCAGGACGACAUGUUCGCCGAGCUCAUGCAGUCCUCCCGCGCUGAUAGGGCCCAGCUGAAUGCGUGGAGGCAAACAAUUGCAGAGUCCCGUAAAGCAUUACAGGAACACGAAGAGAGGAGGGACGCGCACAAUGAGAGCACGCAGAAUGCUAUGGUCAAGCUCAUGGGGGAGCAAACUGACAUGCUCCGCUGUAUGGUGGAUCUAAUGCGGGAAAGGCAGCAAGACCAAAGACUGCCACUGCAGCCCCUGUAUAACCGCCUUCCCUCCUCCACAAGUUCCAUAGCCGCCUCACCCAGACGCCCAAGAACAGGAGGGGGGAGGCUACGGGGACCCACACACUCAACCCCAGAGGAUUGCCCAAGCAGCAGAAAGCUGGCAUAUGCGAACUUUUGAUUUGGUUUCUGGACUUGUCCUUCCCUUCUCCUCCACCCCUCUAACCUAAUACCCCUCCCUCCACCGGUCUACCUUCUGAUUUCCCUCAAUGUGUUGUGCAACAAAUAAUAAAGAACAGUUUUUAAACAA
Trachemys scripta elegans is the source of this 855-nucleotide long non-coding RNA. RefSeq lists it as uncharacterized. The record is from RefSeq and is a predicted model, not a curated record. The transcript has 2 exons. Lineage: Eukaryota; Metazoa; Chordata; Testudines; Emydidae.